This 468-nucleotide ribosomal RNA is filed under the name uncultured bacterium. Its description in RNAcentral is "partial 16S ribosomal RNA". It matches the Rfam family "Bacterial small subunit ribosomal RNA", at positions 28 to 507 of the family's 1533-position model. The record is from RNAcentral.
GACGAACGCUGGCGGCGUGCUUAACACAUGCAAGUCGAACGGUGAAGCUCCAGCUUGCUGGAGUGGAUCAGUGGCGAACGGGUGAGUAACACGUGAGCAACCUGCCCCUGACUCUGGAAUAAGCGCUGGAAACGGCGUCUAAUACUGGAUACGAGAAGGGUCCGCAUGGGCACUUUCUGGAAAGUUUUUCGGUUGGGGAUGGGCUCGCGGCCUAUCAGCUUGUUGGUGAGGUAAUGGCUCACCAAGGCGACGACGGGUAGCCGGCCUGAGAGGGCGACCGGCCACACUGGGACUGAGACACGGCCCAGACUCCUACGGGAGGCAGCAGUGGGGAAUAUUGCACAAUGGGCGAAAGCCUGAUGCAGCGACGCCGCGUGAGGGAUGACGGCCUUCGGGUUGUAAACCUCUUUCAGCAGGGAAGAAGCGAAAGUGACGGUACCCGCAGAAGAAGCACCGGCUAACUACGUG